RNAcentral lists this transfer RNA (72 nucleotides) under Acidobacteriota bacterium. Its description in RNAcentral is "tRNA-Thr". It matches the Rfam family "tRNA". Rfam says of the family: Transfer RNA (tRNA) molecules are approximately 80 nucleotides in length. Their secondary structure includes four short double-helical elements and three loops (D, anti-codon, and T loops). Further hydrogen bonds mediate the characteristic L-shaped molecular structure. tRNAs have two regions of fundamental functional importance: the anti-codon, which is responsible for specific mRNA codon recognition, and the 3' end, to which the tRNAs corresponding amino acid is attached (by aminoacyl-tRNA synthetases). tRNAs cope with the degeneracy of the genetic code in two manners: having more than one tRNA (with a specific anti-codon) for a particular amino acid; and 'wobble' base-pairing, i.e. permitting non-standard base-pairing at the 3rd anti-codon position. RNAcentral also lists the same sequence under 1 other name. The record is from RNAcentral. Lineage: Bacteria; Pseudomonadati; Acidobacteriota.
GCCGGUGUAGCUCAGGGGUAGAGCAGCUGAUUCGUAAUCAGCAGGUCGGUGGUUCAAAUCCACUCGCCGGCU